AUUUUUUUGGUUUCUAGAUUUUUCUAUUUUCUCUCUCUCGCCUACGUGCGAUUCUUCUUCAUCUCCUUCUCUAUUUUUUUGGUUAAAAAUCUCAUAUUAAUCCUUAGUUUUAGUUUUAACCUUUGUAGAUGGCCUUGCUACAGUAAUUUGAGGCCUUGUUUUAGUCUCUUUGGUUUUUUCAAUUGUGAAAUGGAGUGUUUAAGGUUAAGUGGUUGAAGGAUUGGUUAUGGUUUUGGAGAUCCAUGUGAUUGAUGAACAAAACCUAUGUUUUUUGAGUGGUUGAUUUACACUAUACUCUCUUGGAAGGUUAUUUUUCACUAGAGGAACGGGUUCAAUUCCUGAGCCCCCUAGAUUAGACAAUUUUCGGCUGAACUGGGUCAACAAUCUUGUGUUUUUUACGUUUUAUAGUUUUUUUUUUUAUUUCUUGGGCAUUUUGGUGUUUAUUAAUAAGUGUUUUCAUCAAGAAAAACCCAACACUUUUCUUAUUCUACAAGUAGAAUAUUUGAUUGUCUCUGAUGAAUGAUUUGCUACCAUUCUCUAUGUUUAGGAGUGGUGUGUUUCACCUUUUACGGCUUUAUUGUGCCAUGGUACUCCAGUGUCCAACCUAUUAUUUCUAAAAAUAGUUAUGUUGGAUGAUGUUGUUCUCUUUGAUACCUUAUUCAUCUGUUUGUCCUUCAUAUUAAGGGAGUAUCUGUGGAGUGGGUUAUGAUCUUGCCAAUUAUUACAGAACUAAGGGGUUCCACCUCUGAGUAUUCUUUCAUUUGCAAAUACAUUGUUCUAAUGAAAAAUGAAGAUUGUUCUAAUGAAAAAUGAAGAUACAUGUCCAAUUACUGUCGACUUUGCUUCCUGAACAUAUCUUAUUUUUGACCGAUUUCCUCUUCCAUUCUCUUUGGAUCUUAGCUUACAAAUUUGGGAUAUUGAUUGUUUUCCGGUUGUUAUGACUAUAGUUUGGGAAGAAAAUUCAUCCUAAGUGUGUUGUUUCUCACCUGACGAAUAAUUUCUUGUUUCUUGCUUAGUCGAUGAAUUUAUUGAGGUUUGAUUAUUACAAAUUCCUUCAUUAGUACAAAUUGAGGUUUUUUAUUACAAAAUCCAUAAAUCGUUAGAAAUUUCUAGCUACUCCUUGGUUGCUCAUUUUAGAUCAUGCUAGGUAUGGGAUCACAUAAGUGGAAACCUUAAGAAGGAUCUUCAAUAUCAGGCUCAUGUAAGUUGUGUGUUCUUCUAAUUUUCAUUCUCUUUCCCCGUCUUAGUUAUUUUAAUUUGUUAAACCUAUUCUAUUGUGCUUGCAUGAUAUAACUCUGGAUCUGUGAGGCUUAAAUUACUUAAUAAUAUGGUGUUAUAAUGCAACAAAUUGGAUAAAAAAUAGUUUAUUAAGGAAGUGAUUUUCGAUGUUUUAUCAUCAUUGUAUCAAGAGAAUUGCCAUUCACAGUUAACUAAAUAUAAGUUGGCACUAAAUGGUUGACAUGUAGGGCUUGAAACAAACUGCAAUAUGUUGAAUUCUUAGUUCUAAUGGAUCUUUUUCUUACCUCUCCUUUUUCUUAUUUGUUCAUUACCCCUUUAGAGGGGCUAAGUUAUUUAUUUUUCUUUAAUCAUAUAAAUGGAUGAGAUAAUAGAUACACAUCUUCUUGUCUGUUGCAUUUGUUGUUUUCCAGAUUGGCAAAUUAAUUAUUACUAACAUGUCCACAUGGUUCAUGACUUACAGCAUUAACUAUUUUCAAUUUAAUUCUCAACUCAUAAAAUGUUAGUCUUUUUUGGUCGAUGGUCAUUGUAUUAUGAAUACUUAGUGUCAUUGUUUUGUUCUUCAUGAGUUUACAGUUAAAUGUAUUAUGUUUUUGUAAUGAUUGAAUCAUUUUAUGGUUAGGAAUAUUGGAUACAAUUUCGUGAAAUCACAAUUGUGACUUUCUUGUUUGUGAUGCAGGAAGUUCUGAAUCAACUGAGGUCGAGAUGUCAGAUUGCAUGUUGAGAUACCAUGAGAUGGCGGAUUGGCGCAAAGAUGGAAAGUGAUUGCAACACUUUCCUUAAUUGGGGCAAUUUCGAAACGUUUUUGGUAAUUUGGUCAUAACUUUGGCUACGGUUAUCAGAAUAGCUAUUAUAAUCCCAAUUCGAAAAGCUCUUUUCAGUACACACGUUGUUGUCAAGCCAUACUCAAUGGGCAUUAAUUUCGAGGCCAAAAUUUGUUGUUCUCCCGUUCAAAUUUCAAUUUUUAGUUAUUUUUUUCAUUUAUUAUAAUAUUUCGUUUGAUUUUUUCUAGUUGAUUUCAAAUCUGAUUUGAGCCAAAUUUUUGGCAAGUUCCUUCUUUUAUUCCAUAUUUUAUUUUGGUGUGGUUUUCGGGAUUUUGCCAUUUUUGGUAAAAUUUCCAUAAUUUCAUAUUUUUUAGCUAUUUAACCCGACUUGUGAUUAAUUUUCGUAUUCUGCAUUUUAAUAAAGUUAAGUUGAAUUUCAGAAAAUUCUCUCUAUUUCUUGGGCUUUUUCCAUCGUAUUCUUCCUGUGAAUUAUCUAUUGCAACUAGCCUGCAGGAUAAUCACUAUCUCACCCGACGUCAGUUUGUAACAUGGCAGGUAAACUUUUAUGAUGCACAAUGAUGUUGUCUUCUCAGUUGAUUUUAGUAGAGACUCUGAGAUGCUUGCAUCUGGAUCACAAGAUGGAAAAAUAAAGGUUAAGCUUGCUUUCAUUUUCUGCUUUAAUGUGAUUAUUCUCAUGUUGCUUUGUCUUCUAAUUUCCCUAACAUCUAAAAAGAGUUAAAAAAAAGAAGCAUCUAGACUUAUUCAACACAAAAUAACUUAAAGAAGUUAGAGAAUAUUACUUUAUGGUGAGAUAUUAUCCUCCAAAGAAUAUUUUUGGUAUAGCCGGGGAGUAUCAUGACAUCCAUUCUAAUUUGUUGCAAGGUUUUGAAGGACCCUCUAGUGGCUUGUAUUAUACAAUUUGAAAUUCACAAUUGUAAAUCUAUUUAGUAGAUGUUGUUCUCAUCUGUUUGGUUAUAGGUUUAGCGUAUUAGGACAGGUUAAUGCUAACACCGACUGGAACAUGCUCAUUCCCAGGGUGUCAUGAGCCUUGUCUUUUCACGAGAUGGAAGUCGGUUGUUAAGUACAGCAUUUGACAGCACAGCAAGGUUUGAACUCUUAGAGAUGGCUUUUGAAUUGAGCUAUAGUAUCCCCUUAAUCUCAUGCCCUCCACCACCCAAGGAAAAAAAAAAUCAGAAAAGGAUAAGAAGGAUUGUAGAUUCUUGAAAAGGUUCUCAUGAUCCUUACUUUUCUUAUAUUAUACAGAAUUCACGGAUUAAGUCAGGCAAGAUGUUGAAGGAAUUUCAUGGCCAUAUAUCUUAUGUUAACGAUGCCAUCUUUACAAGUGAUGGCUCUCUCGUCAUCUUUGUAUCAAGUGAUUGCACAAUGAAAGUAAGUUAACCUAGCUAUCUAUUAUUAAUUGAGGCCAAAUUUUUCAAGUUUGCUAAUCAUCUACAUGCUGAAUAAAACGAAUGGCAUCUAUAGGUUUAGGAUGUGAAAACUACAGACUGUCUGCAGACCUUUAAGCUGCUACCUCUAGGGAUGGCAAUUUGAACCGUUAAAAUCGAAAAUCGCGGUUAAACGAACCGAAUGGGGUAAAAAAAACCAAACUGAUGGUGCAAUGGGGCGGAUAUGGUAUUUGAUUUUAAGAAACUGGUUCGUGGCAGUGCGAAUAUGGUAUUUAUGCCGUCGAACCGAAAUCGAAUCGAUUAUCCGCUUAAAAAAUCAUUCUUUUAUUAGGUAUGGCAAGGUUUAGUGAGGAGGAAGUUGACAAAAAGGUACAUUUUUAUUUAAAUUUUAGUUAAAACCAUUCUUGAUUAGGUAGAAUCGUUAUAUUCUCUACUUAUAUUUCUUAUUUACUAUAU
RNAcentral lists this long non-coding RNA (3862 nucleotides) under Olea europaea subsp. europaea. The record is from RNAcentral. Lineage: Eukaryota; Viridiplantae; Streptophyta; Magnoliopsida; Lamiales; Oleaceae.